UCAGUAGUACUAUGUUCAGUUACUUAGGGUCUGUUUGUUUGGGUAUAAUCUGUCCAGAUUAUAAAAUCUAACUUAUUUUGAACUAAACAAACAGGUUCUUAAUGAAUUAGUACAUAAAGAGAAGAGAACUUAAACAUAUAUCGAAUCUGACACACCUUCCUCUGCAGCUCAUCCUGCAACGUUUGUUCAGCCUUCUCUUGCAGUUCCUUUAUGGCAGCAGCAUUCUUCAGUUUUUCUUUCUUUAGCUCCUGAGAACAGCAAGAUAAUUGGACAAUAUGACAAGAGUAAAUAAUCUAUCAUAAAUUCAAUGCAAACAAUAUAUUCUUUUAUGAUCAUAGCCUACAUUGAAUAAUGUGAAGAUACCAUGCAUAUCGCAAUAAGAAUAGCUUUAAACUGUGGCAUUUUUAAAAAGAAAAAUUCAAAAAUAUCCAGACUAACACAGGAAAACAGAGCCUCACAUGAUAUAGUUAUACUAAUUAAUUUUACAAUUACACUAUGACAUCCAAAGCUUUAGUUCAAGGCACUAAAAGUAGUAUUACCAACAUUUUGGAAUCUAAGGAAAACUAAUAUGUACUAAAUCACGUCUGCUUCAUACCUUAUCUAGAAUUGCUGCCUCCUCUGCAUACAUCAGUUCCCUGGCCCUGGUGUCUUUCAGCUCCUUUUCAUACUUCUCCUGAUAAAAUGCAAAGCAUACCACAUAAAACAAUACUAUUCAAUGCCUAAUUUAGGGGAAAAUAAUUUUCAUAGUGGUUUUUUAACUGCUUAUAAUCCACAAUAAUUAUGGGCACCAAUAUAAGUGAGGAAAAUAAGAGUGUAAACCACAAAGGUAAAACUGGUGUUGAACCUUAUAUCCUCAGCAAAUGAAGACCAUAGAUAAGCAAAAAGAUAAAACGAGAAUGGAUAGAGCACCUUCAACUUUCUUCUCUCUUCUGAAUACAUGUAUGCAUCUACAUCUGCCUGCUUCUUUUCGGCAGCAUGAAUAGCCUCAAUGAUAUCAAGUACAAUCUUACCAUCUUCAGAAUUUUUUUCUCGAACAACUUCAUCGCUUCUUUUCUCUUUAAUGGUCUGGUUUUUCCGAAAAAAGAAAAGAAAAAAAGGAUAAUCAAGUAAAUAACAUGGAAGAAUUAUCAUUCAAGUGUCUUCAAGUCAUUUCCAGACACCACUUUGCCCAUAGAAAGUCAUUAUCAUAUUCUUGUAGUCUAAAAACAUUAUAAUAUUUUGCUUACUGCGUCUUUCGAAAGACCAGGUUCAUCUUGCAGUAAAUAAGUCUCAGCAAGAGAUUUCUGCUCAACAGCACCAGCUAUUGUGAGAUCCUACAGACAAGGAUUGAUUCAGUAAUCAGCAAGAUAGUAAUAUAGAAGAGUUUCUCAACAUUUGUGCUAUAUGGAUACUACAAAUGGAGGAUGCUGAAGUGAAGACAGAAACAAAAUAGUUUAUGACAACGCAAAGCUAAACUGUAUGGGUCCCUCCUGACAAAAACAAACAGCUCCAGUACUCAAAUUAAGAGUCCUAUAAAUAAAAACCAGUUCACAAUCAAAAUGUUGUUCAAGAGUGCCAGCUGUCUGGUCCAGUUAAAUAGUCAUAGACAAAUAUAGAUCCAAUAAUGCAACAAUGAACUGUGGGAUAUGCACACUAUGUAGCUCUGAUUACAUAUCGUCCGACUAAUCGCGAUUAGUCGGUCUGAUCGGUUGUUAGAACUCGAUAAGGUGUAACGAUUCGAUCAGGGUAGCUGAUCGUCCUUAUCGUCCGCCUAAUCGCGAUUUAUAGCGAUUACUCGCCGUGUUGGGCGAUCAGCCGAUAGGCCUGGUAGUCCAAAAGCCAUUUUAGGCUUAAAUGCUGUCUGGGGGAGGCCAAAGGACGCCCAAUCCCUUCAGAUACAUCCUGGGUAGACGUGAGCAGUCAGCAGUCCUUUAAAUGCUGUCUGGGAGGCCAAAAGACAUUUUGGACGUGAGCAGUCAGCAGCACCAGCCUUCUCCCCCAUUUUAGACGUGAGCAGUCAGCAGCAGCAGCCUUCUCCGCCAUUUUAGUCGCGAAUAACAGCAGCUGAGAAGUCCAACCGAAAUAAGAGAUAGGGGGAAAAUAUCCCUUGCUAUGGUGGGGUGCAUAUGGAGGGUUUGCUUUCGAACUACAAACCCUUGCAAAAAGAGUUAUAAGCCUCUGUUGCUCGGCCUCUGGUUGUGAGAGAAACUGGAGUGAAUUUUCAGCAAUCCACACCAAGAAGAGGAACCGGCUAGAGCAUCAAAGGUUAUGCAAGUUGGUCUAUAUGAGCUACAACAGGAAGAUGAACAACAGAUUUACAAAGAUAAGAGAGCAAGGUUCAAAGGGAAAGAAAAGCAACCCACUAGCGCUUGAAGAGCUUUUGUGGGAAAAUGAGUGGGUUCAGGAGUCUGAAGAAGGUGAGGAGCUUUGGAGUGCAGUAGAUGAAGUUUUAGGUGCAACUCAAGCUACCCAGGGCAGAAACUUGCCUAGGGCAGCAGCUACACAUGGUGGGAGGACCUACUCCGAGACCUAUGUUAGGAGUAGGAAGCGCCAAAAAGUUACAGUGGCUCAGGACUUGCAGCAAGGAGAUGGCAGUAGCAGUGACAGUCACAACGGAAAUGAUCAUCGAGAGCCAACUCAAAAUGACCAAGAUGCUGCAGAAAAAGCGAUUGAUGAUGAAGAAGAAUCUGGAGCUGCUGGUGAUCAAUUCAAGCUGGAUGAUGAUCUCAUAUAGCCAUAUAGGUGUUGCCUUCUUGGACCUUGGUCAUAGUCUACUAAUCUACUGGUCUAGUAAGUUGUAGACUUGCAGUUUCAUAGUCUUAUAUAAAUAAUAAACUUGUUGUGCUGUUA
Long non-coding RNA from Zea mays, 2829 nucleotides. RefSeq lists it as uncharacterized. The transcript has 3 exons. NCBI's taxonomy places the organism in Eukaryota, Viridiplantae, Streptophyta, Magnoliopsida, Poales, Poaceae. The record is from RefSeq and is a predicted model, not a curated record.